Molecule: transfer RNA, 72 nt
Filed under: Pristionchus pacificus
Lineage: Eukaryota; Metazoa; Nematoda; Chromadorea; Rhabditida; Neodiplogasteridae
Description: tRNA-Thr (CGT) (tRNA-Thr-CGT-2 1 to 3)
Rfam family: tRNA
About the family: Transfer RNA (tRNA) molecules are approximately 80 nucleotides in length. Their secondary structure includes four short double-helical elements and three loops (D, anti-codon, and T loops). Further hydrogen bonds mediate the characteristic L-shaped molecular structure. tRNAs have two regions of fundamental functional importance: the anti-codon, which is responsible for specific mRNA codon recognition, and the 3' end, to which the tRNAs corresponding amino acid is attached (by aminoacyl-tRNA synthetases). tRNAs cope with the degeneracy of the genetic code in two manners: having more than one tRNA (with a specific anti-codon) for a particular amino acid; and 'wobble' base-pairing, i.e. permitting non-standard base-pairing at the 3rd anti-codon position.
Source: Rfam by way of RNAcentral
GCCACUUUGGCUUAGUGGCAGAGCGUCGCUCUCGUAAAGCGAAGGUCGCAGGUUCGAUUCCUGCAAGUGGCA